GGAGGCUGCAGUAAGCUGAGAUUACAUCACUGCACUCCAGCCUGGUCAACAGAGCGAGUCUCCAUCUUAAAAAUAAAUAAAUAAAUAAAUAAAUGAAAAAGAGGAUUCUGAAGACAAGAGCCAGUGGUCAGUGAGGUCAGGAGGACAAAAACCCCAGCCCGAGGCGCACUGGGGAGGAGGUUGUGGGCACUACCACAGCUCAGAGGGGCCAUCGCUGCCACCCAGACGACGGUCAAUGGAGGGACUUGGCUCCCUCAAGGCCCAGCCAGGGUCCCGGGCACGAGAGACAGCAGGUGGGAUUCAGGCCGCUCCAUCCAAUCACCUGUCUGUAGAACCUUGUAACAUGAUGAUGGCACUUUCAUUUCCCGACACUGGGCCGAAUCUGGGUUCUCUAAAACUGAGAAUGACAGUGAUUUAAAAGCAAAUAUCCAAGACUGGAGAGUCUGACCGCUCCUGAAAUGCUGGCUGGUGACGGUCAAGCUGCUGCAUCCACUCAGCCUCUCCUGUCAGCUGUAGCCAGUGACUCGGAACUGCCUGCCGGCCUUUCUGCACUCCCCCCCCGCACCCCGCACUUCCCAGCGGCCAGAGUGCUCUGGGACAGAGCACAGGUAAGUGGUGGGGCCAGGGCUUUGGAGGGAUGCGAGCAUGCACCUACUGUCUCCCCUGCCGCAGGGACAGAAAGCUGCAGACUGGACAGUGGGACGUGCAUGGUCCUUUCCUGGGGGCUGGCCCUUUGUGGGUCCCUGCGCCCCAUUCCUGAAGAAGUCGUGCUGGGAGUCAUUUAUCAACAGUUCCUGACUUGCCCUGCCCUGGCACUGUCCCCACGGAGCUGCCUGUCGCUGGGACUGACUAUAGAUGAAUGAAUGAAACCACCAACUACAUGAGCAAUCACAAUUGCGAUGGAGACCUCAGAACAGCAGCACAGCAGGACAGGGGGUACACAAAGGGAGCCGGUGCCUGUGAGCCGGUCAGGCCACCAGGAAGGCUCUGCGGGAGGGAGGUGGCUCUUCAACGGACACCUGCAGGAUGAGCAGGAAGGGACGGAGGGUGGAGUGGCCUGCAGCGAGGAGGAGAAUGGGCCAUUUGAGGAGCAGUGGGGCCUGGAGAGCCUCGGGGAGAGUGAGACACCAAGAAGGGAAAGAGGCAGAGCAGGGCCAGACGGCAGGGCCUGUAGGCACUGUGGGGGCUGCGGGGCAGCCAAGUCCCCUUCUAGCCUUCCAGAUGGAAAGGCAUCUAGGCAAGGCCGAGAAAGCCAAC
This is a long non-coding RNA of Cebus imitator (Panamanian white-faced capuchin), 1257 nucleotides long. RefSeq lists it as uncharacterized. The transcript is spliced from 2 exons. Lineage: Eukaryota; Metazoa; Chordata; Mammalia; Primates; Cebidae. The record is from RefSeq and is a predicted model, not a curated record.